AUGUUCCCUAUGGUAACUGGGUUCAUGAGUUAUGGUCAACAAACAAUACAUGCUACAAGGUACAUAGGUCAAAGUUUCAUAACUACCUUAUCCCACACAAAUCAUUUACCUAUAACGAUUGACUACCCUUAUGAAAAAUCAAUUACACGAGAGCGUUUCCGAGGGCGAAUCCACUUUGAAUUUGAUAAAUGUAUUGCUUGUGAAGUAUGUGUUCGCGUAUGUCCGAUAGAUUUACCUGUUGUGGAUUGGAGAUUUGAAAAAGAUAUUAAAAGAAAACAAUUGCUUAAUUAUAGUAUUGAUUUCACAUAA
RNAcentral lists this ribosomal RNA (309 nucleotides) under Triticum aestivum (bread wheat). RNAcentral's name for it is "partial small subunit ribosomal RNA". Lineage: Eukaryota; Viridiplantae; Streptophyta; Magnoliopsida; Poales; Poaceae. The record is from RNAcentral.